RNAcentral lists this ribosomal RNA (429 nucleotides) under Chloroflexota bacterium. RNAcentral describes it as "Chloroflexi bacterium partial 16S ribosomal RNA". It matches the Rfam family "Bacterial small subunit ribosomal RNA", at positions 355 to 776 of the family's 1533-position model. The record is from RNAcentral. Lineage: Bacteria; Bacillati; Chloroflexota.
UAGGGAAUCUUCGGCAAUGGACGAAAGUCUGACCGAGCAACGCCGCGUGAGUGAAGAAGGUUUUCGGAUCGUAAAACUCUGUUGUUAGAGAAGAACAAGGACGUUAGUAACUGAACGUCCCCUGACGGUAUCUAACCAGAAAGCCACGGCUAACUACGUGCCAGCAGCCGCGGUAAUACGUAGGUGGCAAGCGUUGUCCGGAUUUAUUGGGCGUAAAGCGAGCGCAGGCGGUGUCUUAAGUCUGAUGUGAAAGCCCCCGGCUCAACCGGGGAGGGUCAUUGGAAACUGGGAGACUUGAGUGCAGAAGAGGAGAGUGGAAUUCCAUGUGUAGCGGUGAAAUGCGUAGAUAUAUGGAGGAACACCAGUGGCGAAGGCGGCUCUCUGGUCUGUAACUGACGCUCAGGUGCGAAAGCGUGGGGAGCAAACAGG